This 459-nucleotide ribosomal RNA is filed under the name uncultured bacterium. Its description in RNAcentral is "partial 16S ribosomal RNA". It matches the Rfam family "Bacterial small subunit ribosomal RNA", at positions 339 to 795 of the family's 1533-position model. The record is from RNAcentral.
CUACGGGUGGCUGCAGUGAGGAAUAUUGGUCAAUGGGCGCAAGCCUGAACCAGCCAUCCCGCGUGGAGGAAGACGGCCCUAUGGGUUGUAAACUCCUUUUAUAAGGGAAGAAUAUACGUAUCGUGAUAUGUUUUGACGGUACCUUAUGAAUAAGCAUCGGCUAACUCCGUGCCAGCAGCCGCGGUAAUACGGAGGAUGCAAGCGUUAUCCGGAAUCAUUGGGUUUAAAGGGUGCGCAGGCGGACCAAUAAGUCAGUGGUGAAAUCUUACGGCUCAACCGUGAAACUGCCAUUGAUACUGUUAGUCUUGAGUACGGCUGAGGUAGGCGGAAUGUGUAAUGUAGCGGUGAAAUGCUUAGAUAUUACACAGAACACCAAUUGCGUGGGCAGCUUACUAGACCGUAACUGACGCUGAGGCACGAAAGCGUGGGUAGCGAACAGGAUUAGAUACCCCCGUAGUC